CUCCCUCUCUCUCUCUCUCUCUCUCUCUCUCUGUGUGUGUGUGUGUGUGAGAGAGAGAGAGAGAGAGAGAGAGAGAGAGAG
Podarcis lilfordi (Lilford's wall lizard) is the source of this 81-nucleotide non-coding RNA. The record is from the annotation of a GenBank genome assembly. NCBI's taxonomy places the organism in Eukaryota, Metazoa, Chordata, Lepidosauria, Squamata, Lacertidae.